Long non-coding RNA from Pomacea canaliculata, 2775 nucleotides. RefSeq lists it as uncharacterized. NCBI's taxonomy places the organism in Eukaryota, Metazoa, Mollusca, Gastropoda, Architaenioglossa, Ampullariidae. The record is from RefSeq and is a predicted model, not a curated record. The transcript is spliced from 2 exons.
ACUCGACCUUCACCGAGACGUCUCUGUGGCGGAGUACGAGCAAGCCAACUGACUGACACCUCGCUGGACACCGACCCACUUGAGGAUGUAUACAACCAAGUUGGUAAACUAUUCACCGCACUUACUGCAGACUCGUAAAGCAAACAGAUAACAAUGUCUCGUCUUGUGUUUUUUUUUUUUGUCCUUGAAAAAUCUCCAGCGUUGUCACUCUUUUCGGGUCAACCUUUCAUGAUGCACAAAUAGUCGUUUACAAAGUGUCGGGGUGAUACCUGUUAUCGUGAAAACCUAGAGUGACACUCAUAAGCGUUUUGUGUACAAAAACAUAGCGGUGGUAUCUUUUCAUACUCGUGCACAAUAAUAGGAAUAAAAGUUAAAAUGUCUACGCUUUGUGUGAGAAUGCGAGGAUUAAGAAUUUUUUUCGCCAGAUGCUGGCGUUUUUAAAGGUCAAGCGAGGUGCAUUUCUUUUCUAAUGGUUGGUUAAGUUCAGCACGAUCUGAAUGAAUACUCCCCUUUCCUAGCAGGAGAUGCUUGUCUACACACAUGAUGCAGAGAAAGAGGUCAAAAUCGUGACGUCACGUUUGUACACAGAUACGCCUGAUUAAACAUUGUCCUGAGGCUCUCUAGCUGACCUGAGGUCUUCACAACAUAAAACGUGUCCGUGCACUCUCCUACGUCUAUGUUGUUCACCUCUCUUCCUGUGCAUGGUGAUUUUUGUAGGCGUGUACCUGGAGAGGAGGAUAAUCACCCACAUCUGAUGAAACAGUAUCUUGCUCUGAGCUUUACCGAAGACAAAAUCGUCCAUCCCACUAGACCUGUAACUGACUGCCAUAUACAGAGAGUAUGACAACUAAGACCUGGUGAUGUUCUGGCUGGCGUUGGUGGUCGUUGAUGGGUUUCUCGCCCUGCUGUCACUCUUGUCACCAUCACUAGUCGUUUCCAAUAGAUAAAAUCCCACAGAGAUGUUCGGGUUUCGUGUGGUCGGAUCGUUGCAUCAAAAUCGAUCGCCCCGGGGGCCGAAUUUGGUCGGGCCUCCAAGCCACUUGGCUGCCGGUCAAUCCGCUACACGCGAUAAAGGUGAGGCAAUGCAAGACAAAUACACUGACGUCAGCUGAGGAACGGUUUGAAUUAUAAUGACUACCUUCCAUAGAUAAGGAUUGAACAAACAAAAGACUACAGGCAGACUAUUUCUUCUGCUUGGGUCUUAGAAAGAUUUUUCUAACUGCAGAAAACGUGCAUUGUGAUUCCUUCAUAGCAAUAUAGUUUGAGGGGUUAGGUCCUUGAGUGACCAAUUCUUAAAGGAAGUCAUUCUACAUAGGGGAAAUUAGGUACGUGGUAUGUACAUUUUUAUAAACAGUUUAAGAUAUUCAGCAACAUAUGUUAGAGAGUAAGAUGGCAUUGUUCAGCUUUAAUUCUAAUGAUUGCACAUCUUGCAAUUUACAUUGUUAAUAGAAUGAUUAUUUCAUUUAAGUUUACUUAUUUAAUUGACGAUGCAGUUAUAUGAACUGUAAAAUUCAAAAUCUCAAUAAAAUGGUCGAGCAAUUAAUCUCAGAGUAAAUUAACUAUUGGGUAUGCUGCUGUUGAGAUGAUUCUAAAAGGCACAUAUAUUAUGGCAUGCCAUACACUAAUGCAUACACCCAAACAUUAAAUAAUGCAUUAAAAUACAGUUUGUGUGUGUGUGUGUGUAAUAUAUCUAUAAGAUGGUAUAAGAUUUAGUCACAACACAAACGAAACAAAACCAUCAUGCAGCCUAUAGAACAUAGAAAAUUUUUAAUGAUCCAUAUUUUAAAUGUUGAACGCUUUAGUACCCAUUAGUCAUUGACAGUUCAUUUAAAUACACUUUAAUGCACUUAUAUAUAUAUAUGCCCUCCAAUAAUUGUUUCAAUCUUAAAGUUAAACGAACAUCUCUGCAUUCUGAUCUGCUGGAGGAUUUUUGAUUCUUAUGCAAGGGCAAUAAUCCAAAUAAUGAGCAUGGUCUCAUGGUAAGCUAUGUCCCUUAAAUUUGCAAAGACUUUAUAUACAGUUUGAUUUUAGUCUUCUACCUCCCCCCAACUCCCUCUCCAAACCAGUGUCUAACAAAAGUGUGUACCUGUAUGCCAAUAUCAUUUGAAGAUAUGCAGAAUUACAAAAAUUAUGGGGUCAAAAUCUUUUGUAAGCCUUUGAGCAUACAAAGAGCAGGCAAGCUCAAAAUAUUAAAAUGUUUGUGAUUUUUUAAAUAUACAUUUAGUUAUUCCCAUGGAUGCACAGCCAUUUAUCAAAUAACAGUGAUGAAGAAAGUUGUUUUAUGAUAAUUUCAACUUUUUCCUCAUUUGGCAAAUCUCUUCGCCCCCCACCCCCACUACCACCACACACACACACACAGACAACUUUUAAUUAAUGUACCCAUAAAGACUGCAAAAAUAUAACUAUUGCUCUUAGUAGUUUUAAUUUUUUUACUCUGAUACAAACAUCUGUUUUAUGGAACUCUUGUAAACAGAUAGCAAAUCCAAGAUUCAAAGAGCAGUUUUAAAGCAACUGAUUGUAAGCAGGAAAUAAUGUAUAAAUAGGUGCAGUGAAGUGUUCAGAUAAAAACAAAAUUCAGUUUUUUUCAGCCACAUGUUCAUUCACAUGUAUUUCACUGCCAAGUGCGUUCCUUUUGCUAACUUUACAAUUGUACAUUAAAAAAAAAUGCAGACUAGCUUGGUCCAAUGAUAAGGCAUUAAAAAAAAAUAGAACCAUUUUUUGGGGCAUGUCUAGCACCAAAUCAUAUCAAAACAGAGUCGUAAGGUUUCAAAAAAA